This 483-nucleotide ribosomal RNA is filed under the name uncultured bacterium. Its description in RNAcentral is "partial 16S ribosomal RNA". It matches the Rfam family "Bacterial small subunit ribosomal RNA", at positions 30 to 506 of the family's 1533-position model. The record is from RNAcentral.
AGUGAACGCUGGCGGCAGGCCUAACACAUGCAAGUCGAGCGGCAGCGCGGGGGCAACCCUGGCGGCGAGCGGCGGACGGGUGAGGAAUUCGUCGGAAUCUGCCUUUUUGUGGGGGAUAACGUAGGGAAACUUACGCUAAUACCGCAUACGUCCUACGGGAGAAAGUGGGGGACCGCAAGGCCUCACGCAGAAAGAUGAGCCGACGACCGAUUAGCUAGUUGGUGGGGUAAAGGCCCACCAAGGCGACGAUCGGUAGCUGGUCUGAGAGGAUGAUCAGCCAAAGGGGGACGGAGACACGCCCCAAGACCCUGCGGGGGGCAGGAGGGGGGAAAUUUGGACAAGGGGCGAAAGCCUGCCCCAGCCAUGCCGCGUGGGGGAAGAAGGCCUUCGGGUGGUAAAGCACUUUUUUCGGGAAAAAAACCCCGGGGGCAAAAACCUUCGGGGGAGGCCGGUACCGGAAAAAAAAGCCCCGGCUAACUUGGG